UACAGAGGUCUCAAGCGUUGUUCGGAUUCAUUGGGCGUAAAGGGUGCGUAGGUGGCUGCGUAAGUCGGGUGUGAAAUCCCGGGGCUCAACCCCGGAACUGCACUCGAUACUGCGUGGCUUGAGUACUGGAGAGGAGAUUGGAAUUUACGGUGUAGCAGUGAAAUGCGUAGAGAUCGGGAGGAACACCAGAGGCGAAGGCGGCGACCUGGACAGGUACUGACACUCAACUACGAAAGCGUGGGGAGCAAACAGG
This 253-nucleotide ribosomal RNA is filed under the name uncultured bacterium. RNAcentral describes it as "partial 16S ribosomal RNA". It matches the Rfam family "Bacterial small subunit ribosomal RNA", at positions 524 to 776 of the family's 1533-position model. The record is from RNAcentral.